This 253-nucleotide ribosomal RNA is filed under the name uncultured bacterium. RNAcentral describes it as "partial 16S ribosomal RNA". It matches the Rfam family "Bacterial small subunit ribosomal RNA", at positions 524 to 776 of the family's 1533-position model. The record is from RNAcentral.
GACGAACCGUGCGAACGUUAUUCGGAAUCACUGGGCUUAAAGGGCGCGUAGGCGGGCAGGCGAGUCCGGGGUGAAAUCCCACGGCCCAACCGUGGAAGUGCCUCGGAUACCGCCUGCCUCGAGGGAGGUAGGGGCGUGUGGAACUUCCGGUGGAGCGGUGAAAUGCGUAGAGAUCGGAAGGAACGCCGGUGGCGAAAGCGACACGCUGGACCUCUGCUGACGUUGAGGCGCGAAAGCCAGGGGAGCGAACGGG